UACAGAGGUCCCAAGCGUUGUUCGGAUUCACUGGGCGUAAAGGGUGCGUAGGCGGUGUGGUAAGUCGGAUGUGAAAGCUCGGAGCUCAACUCCGAAAUGGCAUUGGAAACUACCUUGCUCGAGGGUUGGAGGGGGGACUGGAAUGCUUGGUGUAGCAGUGAAAUGCGUAGAUAUCAAGCGGAACACCAGUGGCGAAGGCGAGUCCCUGGACACCUCCUGACACUGAGGCACGAAAGCUAGGGGAGCAAACAGG
Molecule: ribosomal RNA, 253 nt
Filed under: uncultured bacterium
Lineage: Bacteria
Description: partial 16S ribosomal RNA
Rfam family: Bacterial small subunit ribosomal RNA
Source: RNAcentral